RNAcentral lists this long non-coding RNA (517 nucleotides) under Lepidothrix coronata (blue-crowned manakin). RNAcentral describes it as "lncRNA (ENSLCOG00000004083.1)". The record is from RNAcentral. Lineage: Eukaryota; Metazoa; Chordata; Aves; Passeriformes; Pipridae.
GUCGCGGCGAGCGGGCACCGCGGGGCCGAAGAGGAGAUGCAGGGGGGAGCCGGGCGCGCCCCCCUUUCACUCAUAGCCGCAGAGAGAGCGAGGGAGAGAGAAUUGCCCCCAACCAGGCAGCAAAAUGCUGGGUUUAGAAGACUGCGAGCCAGUUUCCUGCAUACAACUAUAAUUAAUUUACGUGCAGAGAUCAAAGAUCCGAGGGCGAAGGAAAUGAUUGAUUCCGCCAGAAAAUGCUUCCCUGGCACAGCCCACGGACAGCCGCCACCCACGGCAGGUCCAGUGAUGUGCUGUUCACCUACCACCCUGCAUGGUGGCCCUCCCCCAGUGGUCCUCUGGUCCCCUCCACCAAGUUCCCUGAACACACUGGAUGCCAAACACCUUUUCAAGGCAGUGGUGCACAGUGCUUUGGUCCCUCCAUCUUCAACAGAUGAAGCAAAGAGAUUAAAAAGGAUAGCACGGUUCCAGGCUGAAACUCCACUUGCUGUAUUUAUGUUGUGCAACUUUAUGCAGGCCC